Molecule: transfer RNA, 69 nt
Filed under: Aporia crataegi
Lineage: Eukaryota; Metazoa; Arthropoda; Insecta; Lepidoptera; Pieridae
Description: tRNA-Glu
Source: RNAcentral
AUUUAUAUAGUUUAAAUAAAACUUUACAUUUUCAAUGUAAAAAUAUAAAUUUUAUGUUUUUUAUAAAUA